UUGAGAUGGUACAUGUUUUCACACUAAGAGUUGCUUUUGCCCCUGUCUUCAUAGGUUAUCAGCGUCAGCUGCUCUACAAGCAUGAUGAUGGCUCCUACAGUGCCUUUGGGAAGUCUGACACCCAGGGCAACACAUGGCUGACAGCUUUUGUGGCCAGGUCCUUUGGGCAGGCCAGCUCUUACAUUUACAUCA
This is a non-coding RNA of Meleagris gallopavo (turkey), 192 nucleotides long. Lineage: Eukaryota; Metazoa; Chordata; Aves; Galliformes; Phasianidae. The record is from RefSeq and is a predicted model, not a curated record.